Molecule: ribosomal RNA, 464 nt
Filed under: Vreelandella stevensii
Lineage: Bacteria; Pseudomonadati; Pseudomonadota; Gammaproteobacteria; Oceanospirillales; Halomonadaceae
Description: partial 16S ribosomal RNA
Rfam family: Bacterial small subunit ribosomal RNA
Source: RNAcentral
CCUCGGGGGGCUGCAGUGGGGAAUAUUGGACAAUGGGCGAAAGCCUGAUCCAGCCAUGCCGCGUGUGUGAAGAAGGCCUUCGGGUUGUAAAGCACUUUCAGUGGGGAAGAAAGCCUUGGGGCUAAUACCCUCGAGGAAGGACAUCACCCACAGAAGAAGCACCGGCUAACUCCGUGCCAGCAGCCGCGGUAAUACGGAGGGUGCGAGCGUUAAUCGGAAUUACUGGGCGUAAAGCGCGUGUAGGCGGUCUGAUAAGCCGGUUGUGAAAGCCCCGGGCUCAACCUGGGAACGGCAUCCGGAACUGUCAGGCUAGAGUGCAGGAGAGGAAGGUAGAAUUCCCGGUGUAGCGGUGAAAUGCGUAGAGAUCGGGAGGAAUACCAGUGGCGAAGGCGGCCUUCUGGACUGACACUGACGCUGAGGUGCGAAAGCGUGGGUAGCAAACAGGAUUAGAUACCCGGGUAGUC